UCAGAGCAGAUUGAAUUUACAUUUUACUUUAAAAAAGGUGUGUGUGUGUGUGUGUGUGUGUGUGUGUGUGUACAUACACAGGAGGAAAACGGAGUGGGGAACAACAAUGGUCUGAGACAGAGUUCUAGGAAUUUCCCCUACAGUGAUCGAAUUUGUCUGUUGGGCAGUAUUUCUCCCGCUGGCAUACAACUGCUUACAAUAUGAACAAGGUUACAGACAAGGAACCAUCAAAGUUUAGGCCUAAUGGAAAGGAGGGUAAGUUAUCAUAUACAAUGUAAGUUUACAAUACACAGCAUUUUCUUUAAAAGAUGGAACGCAGUCAUAGGAAGAAGUUAACAACACUAACACAAGAAUAAUCAAAUUUUUGUUAUCCAUGUACAGCAACUAACUGCUUUACAAAAAAGCAAAAUAAUACAAUAUAUCGUCACAUGUAUUUACAGUGUAGUAAAUAUACUUUUCUGUCAAAUUUUACACAAACUAUUUACAGAUGAAUAUACUGCAUUUAAAAAAUGGUGUGGCUGACACUAAGUGAGUUUUCAUAUAGGUCCAUUGCAUAAUAUUGAGUAAGACAUGCCUCUUUAUGCUUGGGGAGGGGGGUAAAAGGAGAAACAAAACCCAAAACAGAACAAAAAAUUAAAAAAACAAAAAACCGUCAAAAGAAACUGAAAACCCCCAAAACACACAAAGCAGAAGGGUUGCCAGCUCACACUCUGUCCCCGGCGGUGUCCUGUGCCUGCUCAGUGUGCAAGAGGAAGGCAUGAGUGAGCGCCGGAGGACAGGGCACCGCACCAUACUGGGCAGCCCUUCGACAGGAGCACAACAAGGAGGACGCAACCGGGGGUGGGGGGUGUGUGUGGGGGUGUCUACAAACCCAAAACAAACGACAGAGCUUACAUCACAUUAUAUAAAAUGGGCCACUUGCUCUGAACUUCAGAUUUUGUCUUAAAUUGCAAGUAUAAGGACUAAAAAAGUAUUUCAUUUCUCAGGGGAAGAAUAUGGUGAGGGAUUUAGCUCAUUUUCAUUUUAUUUGGAAAGUUAGAUUUUUUUUUCUCAAAAGUCAGAAUUUCUUUAAAGAUAAAUUCUAAACCUUAGCUAACUUUUCAGAUUCCUAGGACAUACUGGUAAAAAGUAUUUUUGCAGUUCAAAGAAGGCUCAAUUUUGAUUUGUGCAACGCUGAUCAUUUCAUGAGGUACUUCACGUGGAUUCAUUUCAUUCAUUACACUAGAGGGAAAUAAUUUAAAAAACAUCAUAGUUUCGUGAACUUGUUUAUGGAAAGAUCAAUAUUUUUAAUAGUAAACCUUUGGAAAUUUCUGUUUUGAUGGGAGAAGCAAAAUAGUGUAACCUCCACCAUCACACACACCAAAUCAACAAAAGAGGAAAAAUAUUGAACCA
Molecule: long non-coding RNA, 1392 nt
Filed under: Heterocephalus glaber (naked mole-rat)
Lineage: Eukaryota; Metazoa; Chordata; Mammalia; Rodentia; Bathyergidae
Description: lncRNA (ENSHGLG00000038774.1)
Source: RNAcentral